UACGUAGGUGGCGAACGUUGUCCGGAUUUACUGGGCGUAAAGCGCGCGCAGGCGGACUGGUUAGUCCGAGGUGAAAUCUCCCGGCUCAACUGGGAGAAGCCCUUGGAUACUGCCAGUCUUGAGACAUCUAGAGGAGAGUGGAAUUCCCGGUGUAGUGGUGGAAUGCGUAGAUAUCGGGAGGAACACCAGUGGCGAAAGCGACUCUCUGGGGAUGUUCUGACGCUGAGGCGCGAAAGCGUGGGGAGCAAACCGGAUUAGAUACCCCGGUAGU
This 271-nucleotide ribosomal RNA is filed under the name uncultured archaeon. RNAcentral describes it as "partial 16S ribosomal RNA". It matches the Rfam family "Bacterial small subunit ribosomal RNA", at positions 524 to 794 of the family's 1533-position model. The record is from RNAcentral.